RNAcentral lists this ribosomal RNA (497 nucleotides) under uncultured bacterium. RNAcentral's name for it is "partial 16S ribosomal RNA". It matches the Rfam family "Bacterial small subunit ribosomal RNA", at positions 28 to 507 of the family's 1533-position model. The record is from RNAcentral.
GAUGAACGCUGGCGGCGUGCCUAAUACAUGCAAGUCGAGCGAAGAGGCGUGUUGCUUGCUUCUCUCGUGUUAGUGGCGGACGGGUGAGUAACACGUGGAUAACCUACCUCUAAGCCUGGGAUAACUUCGGGAAACCGGAGCUAAUACCGGAUAAUAUUUUGAACCGCAUGGUUCUAAAGUGAAAGAUGGUCUUGCUGUCCAUUAUAGAUGGCUCCGGGGUGCUUUAGCUGGUGGGUAAGGAACGGGCUAACAAAGGCACGGAUGCAUAGCCGACCUGAGAGGGGAUCCGGCAACCCUGGAAUGGAAACACGGGCCAGACUCCUACGGAGGCAGGCGGUAGGGAAUCUCGCGAAUGGGGCGAAAGCCAGACGGAGCAACGCCGCGUGGUGGAUGAGGGUCUUGGGAUCUUAAGACACUGUGAUUAGGGAAGACGAUAUGUGUAAUUAACUGUGCACACCUUGACGGUACCUAAUCAGAAAGCCACGGCUAACUACGUG